CGGGGUCACGCCCCGGGUGCGUCGCAGCCCCGGAACCAGGCGCCCGCCGGAGGGACCAACCAAAGUCUUUUCUGUAGUCCCCUCGCGGACGUUAUUUCUUACAGCUCUGAGCAAAAAUUCAAAAUGAAUCAAAACUUUCAACAACGGAUCUCUUGGUUCUGGCAUCGAUGAAGAACGCAGCGAAAUGCGAUCAGUAAUGUGAAUUGCAGAAUUCAGUGAAUCAUCGAAUCUUUGAACGCACAUUGCGCCCGCCAGUAUUCUGGCGGGCAUGCCUGUCCGAGCGUCAUUUCAACCCUCGAACCCCUCCGGGGGGUCGGCGUUGGGGACCUCGGGAGCCCCUAAGACGGGAUCCCGGCCCCGAAAUACAGUGGCGGUCUCGCCGCAUCCUCUCCUGCGCAGUAGUUUGCACAACUCGCACCGGGAGCGCGGCGCGUCCACGUCCGUAAAACACCCAACUUCUGAAAUGUUGACCUCGGAUCAGGUAGGAAUACCCGCUGAACUUAAGCUUAUCAAU
Molecule: ribosomal RNA, 514 nt
Filed under: Trichoderma viride
Lineage: Eukaryota; Fungi; Ascomycota; Sordariomycetes; Hypocreales; Hypocreaceae
Description: eukaryotic LSU rRNA
Rfam family: 5.8S ribosomal RNA (bases 133-286)
Source: RNAcentral